CGUAGGGGGCAAGCGUUGUCCGGAUUUACUGGGCGUAAAGCGCGCGUAGGCGGAAGCUUAAGUGUGGCCUGAAAGCCCCCGGCUCAACCGGGGAGGGUGGCUGCAAACUGGGUUUCUUGAGGGCGAUAGAGGAGAGUGGAAUUCCUGGUGUAGCGGUGAAAUGCGUAGAUAUCAGGAGGAACACCGGUGGCGAAGGCGGCUCUCUGGGUCGGCCCUGACGCUGAGGUGCGAAAGCGUGGGGAGCGAACGGGAUUAGAUACCCCGGUAGUCCACGCCGUAAACGAUGGUCACUAGGUGUGUGCGGUAUCGACCCCGCACGUGCCGCAGCUAACGCAAUAAGUGACCCGCCUGGGGAGUACGGCCGCAAGGUUG
This 372-nucleotide ribosomal RNA is filed under the name uncultured organism. RNAcentral describes it as "bacterial SSU rRNA". It matches the Rfam family "Bacterial small subunit ribosomal RNA", at positions 526 to 896 of the family's 1533-position model. The record is from RNAcentral.